GAUGAACGCUGGCGGCGUGCUUAACACAUGCAAGUCGAACGGAAAGGCCCUGCUUUUGUGGGGUGCUCGAGUGGCGAACGGGUGAGUCACACGCGAGUAACCUGCCCCUGACUUUUGGCUAACUUCAGGAAACUUGGGCUACUACCGGAUAGGAGCUCCUGCUUCGUUGUGGGGUUUGGACAGUUUCGGCGGUAGGGGAUGGACUCGCGGCUUAUCAGCUUGUUGGUGGGGUAGUGGCUUACCACGGCUUUGACGGGUAGCCGGCCUGAGAGUGUGACCGGGACAUUGGGACUGAGAUACGGCCCAGACUCCUACGGGAGGCAGCAGUGGGGAAUAGUGCACAAUGGGCGGAAGCCUGAUGCAGCAACGCCGCGUGCGGGAUGACGGCCUUCGGGUUGUAAGCCGCGUUCGCCUGUGACGAAGCGUGAGUGACGGUAAUGGGUAAAGAAGCACCGGCUAACUACGGG
RNAcentral lists this ribosomal RNA (467 nucleotides) under uncultured bacterium. RNAcentral's name for it is "partial 16S ribosomal RNA". It matches the Rfam family "Bacterial small subunit ribosomal RNA", at positions 28 to 507 of the family's 1533-position model. The record is from RNAcentral.